Panicum virgatum (switchgrass) is the source of this 590-nucleotide long non-coding RNA. RefSeq lists it as uncharacterized. NCBI's taxonomy places the organism in Eukaryota, Viridiplantae, Streptophyta, Magnoliopsida, Poales, Poaceae. The transcript is spliced from 5 exons. The record is from RefSeq and is a predicted model, not a curated record.
UCACCGCUCCACCGCGGCAGCCGCCGCACUCGAGGAUCAACCGAGACCCUCCUGGCCUCCUGUCUUCGACGGCAUCUUCGUCCCGUCCCUCGGCAUUGAAGAUUUGGCAAGCGGUGGUGGAAGGAUCUAAUAGAGACUUGCAUGGCUGCAUCUCUCCUCAAGCACGAGCAUCCCUGAGGUUGUAGCAACAAUUUCUAUGUCGUUUUCGUCAAUAACCAGACGCUAUUCCCCUUAUCUACAAGUUUCAGGUGUUUUUGGCAGAUGAGAUUGGCAGCUUUAAGAAGAUGCGUCAUGUAUUUUGAAAUCCAGAGAAAGAUAAUAAGCAAAUCAAUUUUUAAAGAUGAUUUUGUCAACACAUCACGCCAUGAUUCAAAGGAUAAAGCUGCAGCGUGCAAAUGGGUACUCAAAGAAGUGCGUCAGAUCUUGAAAAGUUAAACAGUAGUAGUUGACAGCAGUAUGCCAGUAUAUCGGCCAUUUCAUUUUUAUUGUAUUGGGAAAACGUGUCAUCAUGGUUCCAGCUGGCUGUAGUGUAUGAACAAUUGUGUCGUAUUGAUGUAUGCACAAUAUAAUGUAUUAAAUUUUGAAUGAAA